GCCUCAUUGGCUCAGUUGGUAGGGCACAUGACUCUUGAUCUUGGGGUCAUGAGUUCAAGCCUCACAGUGGGCA
Molecule: transfer RNA, 73 nt
Filed under: Ailuropoda melanoleuca (giant panda)
Lineage: Eukaryota; Metazoa; Chordata; Mammalia; Carnivora; Ursidae
Rfam family: tRNA
About the family: Transfer RNA (tRNA) molecules are approximately 80 nucleotides in length. Their secondary structure includes four short double-helical elements and three loops (D, anti-codon, and T loops). Further hydrogen bonds mediate the characteristic L-shaped molecular structure. tRNAs have two regions of fundamental functional importance: the anti-codon, which is responsible for specific mRNA codon recognition, and the 3' end, to which the tRNAs corresponding amino acid is attached (by aminoacyl-tRNA synthetases). tRNAs cope with the degeneracy of the genetic code in two manners: having more than one tRNA (with a specific anti-codon) for a particular amino acid; and 'wobble' base-pairing, i.e. permitting non-standard base-pairing at the 3rd anti-codon position.
Source: Rfam by way of RNAcentral